GACCGUGCGCGCCUGUCCGGUAUCGUCCAAGUUCCCAUGAAUGGGGCCAGCAACCCAGAGAGGGUGUCAGGCCCGUAGGACGAGCCGCGACCGUAGCAUUGGGUCUCUCCUUAGAGUCGGGUUGCUUGAGAGUGCAGCCCUAAGCGGGAGGUAAACUCCUUCUAAGGCUAAAUAUGGCCACGAGACCGAUAGCGAACAAGUACCGCGAGGGAAAGUUGAAAAGAACUUUGAAGAGAGAGUUCAAUAGUGCGUGAAACCGUUCAGGGGGUUAAACGGGUGGGCCCUCGAAGGUCGAAAGGUCCCCACUCCCGUCAUCUGUAGGCCGGCUCGUGCUGCUUUCCGAUGCCGCUAUGGCACGGAGCUUGGUGCGGUUGGCCGGUCUACGGGGGCCGCAAGUUGGGGACCCAGUAGGACUCCGCAACCGUCUGGGAGGCCGUCAGAAGGGUUCCGGUAGAAAGCCUCCUCGUGGGGUGGACUCUGGGAUUUUCCGGGCGGUCCUCUCGGCCGUCAAACCUGAAUUCUCCCGCCGGUUCUGGGGACGAGCUUUAAACGGCUGUCGGUUCUCGGUUCCGUUGUCGGGGGAUGCCGCGGAGAGUAGAGUCGGGUCCCACCCGACCCGUCUUGAAACACGGACCAAGGAGUCUAACAUGUGCGCGAGUCGUCGGGUUUUUUACUAAACCCGAAAGCGCAAUGAAAGUGAAGACCGUCCUCGUUGGCGUGUCUAGGGGAGAUCCC
This 735-nucleotide ribosomal RNA is filed under the name Leptestheria mayeti. RNAcentral's name for it is "partial large subunit ribosomal RNA". It matches the Rfam family "Eukaryotic large subunit ribosomal RNA", at positions 159 to 744 of the family's 3401-position model. Lineage: Eukaryota; Metazoa; Arthropoda; Branchiopoda; Diplostraca; Leptestheriidae. The record is from RNAcentral.